UACGUAGGGUGCAAGCGUUGUCCGGAAUUAUUGGGCGUAAAGGGCUCGUAGGCGGUCCAUCGCGUCGGGAGUGAAAAGCUGGGGCUUAACCCCAGUCCUGCUUCCGAUACGGGUGGACUAGAGGUAGGUAGGGGAGAACGGAAUUCCUGGUGUAGCGGUGAAAUGCGUAGAUAUCUGGAGGAACACCGGUGGCGAAGGCGGCAUCCUGGACCGGCAUUGACGCUGAGGAGCGAAAGCCAGGGGAGCAAACGGG
This 253-nucleotide ribosomal RNA is filed under the name uncultured bacterium. RNAcentral's name for it is "partial 16S ribosomal RNA". It matches the Rfam family "Bacterial small subunit ribosomal RNA", at positions 524 to 776 of the family's 1533-position model. The record is from RNAcentral.